RNAcentral lists this ribosomal RNA (1341 nucleotides) under uncultured bacterium. RNAcentral describes it as "bacterial SSU rRNA". It matches the Rfam family "Bacterial small subunit ribosomal RNA", at positions 28 to 1387 of the family's 1533-position model. The record is from RNAcentral.
GACGAACGCUGGCGGCGCGCCUAACACAUGCAAGUCGAACGGAGCUUAGAGAGCUUGCUUUUUAAGCUUAGUGGCGAACGGGUGAGUAACGCGUGAGUAACCUGCCCUAGAGUGGGGGACAACAGUUGGAAACGACUGCUAAUACCGCAUAAGCCCACGGUAUCGCAUGGUACUGAGGGAAAAGGAUUUAUUCGCUUUAGGAUGGACUCGCGUCCAAUUAGCUAGUUGGUGAGGUAACGGCCCACCAAGGCGACGAUUGGUAGCCGGACUGAGAGGUUGAACGGCCACAUUGGGACUGAGACACGGCCUAGACUCCUACGGGAGGCAGCAGUGGGGGAUAUUGCACAAUGGGGGAAACCCUGAUGCAGCGACGCCGCGUGGAGGAAGAAGGUUUUCGGAUUGUAAACUCCUGUCGUUAGGGACGAUAAUGACGGUACCUAACAAGAAAGCACCGGCUAACUACGUGCCAGCAGCCGCGGUAAAACGUAGGGUGCAAGCGUCGUCCGGAAUUACUGGGUGUAAAGGGAGCGCAGGCGGGAAGACAAGUUGGAAGUGAAAACCAUGGGCUCAACCCAUGAAUUGCUUUCAAAACUGUUUUUCUUGAGUAGUGCAGAGGUAGAUGGAAUUCCCGGUGUAGCGGUGGAAUGCGUAGAUAUCGGGAGGAACACCAGUGGCGAAGGCGGUCUACUGGGCACCAACUGACGCUGAGGCUCGAAAGCAUGGGUAGCAAACAAGAUUAGAUCCCCUGGUAGUCCAUGCCGUAAACGACCAUAUGAGGUGUUGGGGGAAUGGACCCCCUCAGUGCCGCAGUUAACACAAUAAGUAAUCCACCUGGGGAGUACGACCGCAAGGGUGAAACUCAAAGGAAUUGACGGGGGCCCGCCACAAGCAGUGGAGUAUGUGGUUUAAUUCGAAGCAACGCGAAGAACCUUACCAGGUCUUGACAUCCGAUGCAUAGCACAGAGAUGUGUGAAAUCCUUCGGGACAUCGAGACAGGUGGUGCAUGGUUGUCGUCAGCUCGUGUCGUGAGAUGUUGGGUUAAGUCCCGCAACGAGCGCAACCCUUAUUGCCAGUUACUACGUUAAGAGGACUCUGGCGAGACUGCCGUUGACAAAACGGAGGAAGGUGGGGAUGACGUCAAAUCAUCAUGCCCUUUAUGACCUGGGCUACACACGUACUACAAUGGCGUUAAACAAAGAGAAGCAAGACCGCGAGGUGGAGCAAAACUCAAAAACAACGUCUCAGUUCAGAUUGCAGGCUGCAACUCGCCUGCAUGAAGUCGGAAUUGCUAGUAAUCGCGGAUCAGCAUGCCGCGGUGAAUACGUUCCCGGGCCUUGCACA